This 447-nucleotide ribosomal RNA is filed under the name uncultured bacterium. Its description in RNAcentral is "partial 16S ribosomal RNA". It matches the Rfam family "Bacterial small subunit ribosomal RNA", at positions 28 to 523 of the family's 1533-position model. The record is from RNAcentral.
GAUGAACGCUAGCGGCAGGCCUAACACAUGCAAGUCGAGCGCCCCGCAAGGGGAGCGGCAGACGGGAGAGCAACGCGUGGGAAUCUACCCAUAUCUACGGAAUAACGCAUGGAAACGUGUGCUAAUACCGUAUACGUCCUUCGGGUGCAAGAUUUAUCGGAGAUGGAUGAGCCCACGUUGGAUUAGCUAGUUGGUGGGGUAAAGGCCUACCAAGGCGACGAUCCAUAGCUGGUCUGAGAGGAUGAUCAGCCACACUGGGACUGAGACACGGCCCAGACUCCUACAGGAGGCAGCAGUGGGGAAUAUUGGACAAUGGGGGCAACCCUGAUCCAGCCAUGCCGCGUGAGUGAUGAAGGCCCUAGGGUUGUAAAGCUCUUUCGGCGGGGACGAUAAUGACGGUACCCGCAGAAGAAGCCCCGGCUAACUUCGUGCCAGCCGCCGCCGUAA